This 326-nucleotide ribosomal RNA is filed under the name Acanthosoma asahinai. RNAcentral's name for it is "partial 12S rRNA". Lineage: Eukaryota; Metazoa; Arthropoda; Insecta; Hemiptera; Acanthosomatidae. The record is from RNAcentral.
UUUCAUUGGUAUUAAUAGUUAUGACCUUUAAAUUAAAAGAAUUUGACGGUAAUUUAUCAUUCCAGAGGAGCCUGUCCUUUAAUCGAUAUUCCACGUUAAAUUUUACCCUAAUUUUUAGCUUAUAUACCUCUGUUAAAGAGUGUUUUAUUAGAAAUUAUUCUCUUUUAUUUUUUAAAAAUUUAUAUCAGGUCAAGGUUUAGUUAUAUUGGGGUUGAGAUGGGCUACAUUUAUUUUAUUAUUGGAUCUUUUUAUUUAUUUAAAAAGUGAAAUUGGAUUUGGUUGUAACUUAUAUUAUAUUUUAUUAGUGAUAUUUGUUCUAGAUUAAG